Mus musculus (house mouse) is the source of this 317-nucleotide long non-coding RNA. RefSeq annotates it as predicted gene, 30704. The transcript is spliced from 3 exons. Lineage: Eukaryota; Metazoa; Chordata; Mammalia; Rodentia; Muridae. The record is from RefSeq and is a predicted model, not a curated record.
CCUUGUCCCUUCUGUGUUUAAUCUGACCAUCUUCUCCUCACAGAUCAAGAAAAGGAGCUGAAUCUUUGUGGUGGCAUUAGAAUGGAUUUGUGGGGACUGUGUUCUCCUAUCCCAUCCCUGCUGCCAUCUCCCUGAGAUGGGUGAGGAACAAAGCCAACACACUAGCACCCUUUGCGACUAACUCAUCUAAUCCCACACGAGUUGCAGUAUCUGAUGCUUGGAGCAGGAACCAGUGCCCUCAAACAAAGCCUUCCUCUGUCCUUCUUCAAUGACUACACCUUCUGGACACAUGGGAUGAAAGGUUGCACCACAUAUCU